RNAcentral lists this ribosomal RNA (497 nucleotides) under uncultured bacterium. Its description in RNAcentral is "partial 16S ribosomal RNA". It matches the Rfam family "Bacterial small subunit ribosomal RNA", at positions 28 to 507 of the family's 1533-position model. The record is from RNAcentral.
GAUGAACGCUGGCGGCGUGCCUAAUACAUGCAAGUCGAGCGAACGGACGAUAAGCUUUCUUCUCUGAUGUUAGCGGCGGACGGGUGAGUAACACGUAGAUAACCUACCUAUAAUACUUGGAUAACUUCGGGAAACCGGAGCUAAUACCGGAUAAUAUUUUCUACCGCAUGGUUCAAAAGUUCUAGACGGUCUUGCUGUCACUUAUAGAUGGUUCCGCGCUGCAUUAGCUAGUUGGUAAGGUAACGGCCUACCAAGGCAACGAUGCAUAGCCGACCUGAGAGGGUGAUCGGCCACACUGGAACUGAGACACGGUCCAGACUCCUACGGGAGGCAGCAGUAGGGAAUAUUCCGCAAUGGGCGAAAGCCUGACGGAGCAACACCGCGUGAGUGAAGAAGGUCUUCGGAUCGUAAAACUCUGUUAUUAGGGAAGAAAAUAUGUGUAAGUAAAUGUGCACAUCUUGACGGUACCUAGUGAGAAAGCAACGGCUAACUACGUG